ACCACUUAAUCAAGUGCAUUCUAUUAGGUUAAAAAUUCAACUUCAAUGAUUUUAUUAAACAUUUUAAUUUGAAAACAUUAUUUAAUGUGUUGACGUGAAAGAAUUAUAUUAGUACAUAUUUUAGCUUAGACUUGUAAGUAAUCUAAACUCAAAUUCCUUUUUUCAUUUAUUGAAAAACAAAAUUCAAGUUCAUCUAACCUAAUCUAACGUUAUGUCUACUUAAUUUCUCUGUUUCAUGAGUGGGCACGAAACUCCUCCCACUUAACAUGCUGUGAGAAGAUCGUAACGCCAUAUUGCAAGUGAAACAAACAGCUACGAACAAUACAGUUGAAGUACGGAGAGAGGUGGCCAUUCGUUGCCUGGUUGUCUACCUUGGAGAAAAGGAACAGGACCUCUUCAAGGAGUUUAAUAGUAUUGAAGAAUUUGAAGCAAACCUUGACAGGCAAGUAUUGAAGAUUGCCAUCAUUAAAGACCAGAAUCCAAACACUGGAACCAUCCUGAUCGAGGGAGCCAAAAUCCUGGAUGGUAUUGAUGUCCCAAGGUGCUGUGCUUUGCUCAUGGGUUUAAUAUACGCUCUGAAUCUGAGCUAUCCCAAGGAUCUAAAAUGUACAUACGAAGUAUUUCAGAAACUGUUCCUUGAACUUGAUGGACUAAAAACCAGUGGGAAAGUAAUGAAUCUCAAGUACAGCAUUUUCUAAGAACACUUUUCUUUCAAACCACUGCCAUUUUUUUUUUUUAAACCCAUGUUAUUAUUUAAUCCAUAAACCGCUGUUUCAAUUUUAAACAUUCUCAGGUUUUGUUUUAAAUUUUUGUUGACUAUGUGCUGUUGAAAACAUGUUCAUUAUGGUUUUGUAAUACUGUGUUCAAAGAAUGUUGCUCUUUUGUCCAAGAAUGUUCUUAGGUCAGAGUAGGUGCUGUUGUGUGUUCAUACCUCAUGAUCUUUGUAAGCACUUGGUAUUUUCAUAGUGAGGUUGCUAUAUUUUUCAAAAUGUUUUUGCAUCCUGCAAUGGAAGUCAGGUGUGACAAAUUUGACAGUUGAAUAUUACA
Long non-coding RNA from Erpetoichthys calabaricus (reedfish), 1047 nucleotides. RefSeq lists it as uncharacterized. NCBI's taxonomy places the organism in Eukaryota, Metazoa, Chordata, Cladistia, Polypteriformes, Polypteridae. The transcript is spliced from 3 exons. The record is from RefSeq and is a predicted model, not a curated record.